AAAACGCAAAAAUCCACCAGUAUCUGAAGCUAGUGGCAUGCUCGUACAGAGCAGGUUUAUAUGGAAACCCGUAUAGAAAAGUGAUUUUUACUCAAAAUGAGGAUGGAUUAAAUCUUCUACUUCCUUGAUUUUUCAUAAUAAAGGGUGCUAGGAAUUUUUUUCUUGUCCUGUUGGCUAGGUCAUGGGGGUUUAUUCACUAAUCCACUGAUGACAUCACUUUUCUGCAUUAAAUCCCAGUUCUCCCUGGAAGAAGUGUUGAGUUGGCCCGGUGUAAUAUACAGUGACAUGGUUUUCAGGAAAGCGAAUAAUUAAAAUCUACACAAGCAUGGCUGUAUUGUCCCUUCUUGAGUUGCCUUACGUGCAAGAUCUCUCAUCUUUCUGCAUAAACCCCUAUUUCCAGUUUCUACAAUAUAUAAUUCUACAAUAAGUAAUAUGCAUUGUGUUCAUAUGGAGACAAACUCUCGGAUUGUUAUAUUUCUCCCACCCUACCACCUUUGGGUAAAGAGCUACUAAUGUUAAGGCUCUGCCAUUGUUGUGGUUGCUUGUGAUUUUCUUUGGUUGAUUUAGUUUUGGAACCACACUUACAAUAAACUAUUUAUCUAUCUAGCUUCUUAAAA
This is a long non-coding RNA of Spea bombifrons (plains spadefoot toad), 617 nucleotides long. RefSeq lists it as uncharacterized. The record is from RefSeq and is a predicted model, not a curated record. Lineage: Eukaryota; Metazoa; Chordata; Amphibia; Anura; Pelobatidae. The transcript has 2 exons.